This 73-nucleotide transfer RNA is filed under the name Neoconidiobolus thromboides FSU 785. Its description in RNAcentral is "tRNA-Ala". It matches the Rfam family "tRNA". From Rfam's summary of the family: Transfer RNA (tRNA) molecules are approximately 80 nucleotides in length. Lineage: Eukaryota; Fungi; Entomophthoromycota; Entomophthoromycetes; Entomophthorales; Neoconidiobolaceae. The record is from RNAcentral.
GGGGAUCUAGCUCACUUGGUAGAGCGCCCGCUUCGCAUGCGGGAGGCACCGGGAUCGAUGCCCGGGUUCUCCA